UGCAAUUUUUGGAUAAUCGCGUGAGAGCUUUCUCUCAUGAGGAAAGUCCAUGCUAGCACAGGCUGUGAUGCCUGUAGUGUUUGUGCUAGGUGAAUCCAUAAGCCUAGGGACUUGAUGUUCAAGUUACGGCGAGCGAACGGGCUAAGUCUUAGGAUAAGUUCUACUAGCUCUGAAAGUGCCACAGUGACGUAGUUUUUAGGGAAACCUAAAAAGUGGAACGCGGUAAACCCCUCAAGCUAGCAACCCAAACUUUGGUCGGGGCAUAGGAUGCAUGGAAACGAACAUAGCAUUCUGACUGGAAACAGUAGACAGAUGAUUAUCGAAGGAAAUGGUACCUAGUCAUUUCUGGAACAAAACAUGGCUUAUAGAAAAUUGCAUAUA
RNAcentral lists this RNase P RNA (381 nucleotides) under Streptococcus ilei. RNAcentral's name for it is "Streptococcus sp. I-G2 bacterial RNase P". It matches the Rfam family "Bacterial RNase P class B". Rfam says of the family: Ribonuclease P (RNase P) is a ubiquitous endoribonuclease, found in archaea, bacteria and eukarya as well as chloroplasts and mitochondria. The record is from RNAcentral. Lineage: Bacteria; Bacillati; Bacillota; Bacilli; Lactobacillales; Streptococcaceae.